This 492-nucleotide ribosomal RNA is filed under the name uncultured bacterium. RNAcentral describes it as "partial 16S ribosomal RNA". It matches the Rfam family "Bacterial small subunit ribosomal RNA", at positions 29 to 507 of the family's 1533-position model. The record is from RNAcentral.
AGUGAACGCUGGCGGUAGGCCUAACACAUGCAAGUCGAACGGCAGCACAGUAAGAGCUUGCUCUUACGGGUGGCGAGUGUCGGACGGGUGAGGAAUACAUCGGAAUCUACUUUUUCGUGGGGGAUAACGUAGGGAAACUUACGCUAAUACCGCAUACGACCUACGGGUGAAAGCAGGGGAUCUUCGGACCUUGCGCGAUUGAAUGAGCCGAUGUCGGAUUAGCUAGUUGGCGGGGUAAAGGCCCACCAAGGCGACGAUCCGUAGCUAGUAUGAGAGGAUGAAUCGACAGACGGGCACUGAGACACGGUCCACACACCGAGAGGAGGACGCGGCGGGGAAUACUAGGCGAUGGGGGAAAGGCUGAUCCAGGACAACCGCGGAAGGGCAGAACGACCUAUGGUUGGAAAGCGAUUUUGUUGGGAGAGAAAAAAAGCAGGUUUAUCCCCCGCUGUUAUGACGGUACCCAAAGAAUAAGCACCGGCUAACUUCGUG